AACACGUGGGCAACCUGCCCUGAAGUGGGGGAUAACAUCUGGAAACAGGUGCUAAUACCGCAUAACAACGAAAACCACAUGGUUUCGUUUCAAAGAUGGUUUCGGCUAUCACUUCAGGAUGGGCCCGCGGUGCAUUAGCUAGUUGGUAAGGUAACGGCUUACCAAGGCAAUGAUGCAUAGCCGAGUUGAGAGACUGAUCGGCCACGAUGGAACUGAGACACGGUCCAUACUCCUACGGGAGGCAGCAGCG
RNAcentral lists this ribosomal RNA (250 nucleotides) under uncultured Lactobacillus sp. RNAcentral describes it as "partial 16S ribosomal RNA". It matches the Rfam family "Bacterial small subunit ribosomal RNA", at positions 112 to 356 of the family's 1533-position model. The record is from RNAcentral. Lineage: Bacteria; Bacillati; Bacillota; Bacilli; Lactobacillales; Lactobacillaceae.